UACGUAGGGGGCGAGCGUUGUCCGGAGUUACUGGGCGUAAAGCGCCCGCAGGCGGUCCAUUAAGUUCAGGGUGACAGUCAUCAGCUUAACUGGUGAAGGACUUUGAAAACUGGUGGACUUGAGAGCGAGAGAGGGACAUGGAACUCCGGGUGGAGCAGUGAAAUGCGUUGAGAUCCGGAAGAACACCAAAGGCGAAGGCAGUGUCCUGGCUCGUGUCUGACGCUCGGGGGCGAAAGCGAGGGGAG
RNAcentral lists this ribosomal RNA (245 nucleotides) under uncultured bacterium. RNAcentral's name for it is "partial 16S ribosomal RNA". It matches the Rfam family "Bacterial small subunit ribosomal RNA", at positions 524 to 768 of the family's 1533-position model. The record is from RNAcentral.